This 301-nucleotide ribosomal RNA is filed under the name uncultured bacterium. RNAcentral's name for it is "partial 16S ribosomal RNA". It matches the Rfam family "Bacterial small subunit ribosomal RNA", at positions 509 to 809 of the family's 1533-position model. The record is from RNAcentral.
CAGCAGCCGCGGUAAUACGGAGGGUGCAAGCGUUAUCCGGAUUUAUUGGGUUUAAAGGGUCCGUAGGCGGACUUAUAAGUCAGUGGUGAAAGCCUGUCGCUUAACGAUAGAACUGCCAUUGAUACUGUAAGUCUUGAGUAUAUUUGAGGUAGCUGGAAUAAGUAGUGUAGCGGUGAAAUGCAUAGAUAUUACUUAGAACACCAAUUGCGAAGGCAGGUUACCAAGAUAUAACUGACGCUGAGGGACGAAAGCGUGGGUAGCGAACAGGAUUAGAUACCCGCGUAGUCCCUGUCUCUUAUAA